This 1580-nucleotide ribosomal RNA is filed under the name Pseudomonadota bacterium. RNAcentral describes it as "bacterial SSU rRNA". It matches the Rfam family "Bacterial small subunit ribosomal RNA". The record is from RNAcentral. Lineage: Bacteria; Pseudomonadati; Pseudomonadota.
UUAAUUGAAGAGUUUGAUCCUGGCUCAGAACGAACGCUGGCGGCGUGCUUAACACAUGCAAGUCGAACGAGAAAAUCCUGGCUUGCCAGGAUGAGUAAAGUGGCGCACGGGUGAGUAACACGUGAGUAAUCUGCCCCUAAGUCAGGAAUAACAUUGCGAAAGCGAUGCUAAUACCUGGUAAGCCCACGACUACCCCGGUAGAUGUGGGAAAAGGUGGCCUCUGACAUAAGCUAUCGCUUAGGGAUGAGCUCGCGGACCAUUAGCUUGUUGGUAGGGUAACGGCCUACCAAGGCUAUGAUGGUUAGCUGGCCUGAGAGGGUGGCCAGCCACACUGGAACUGAGACACGGUCCAGACUCCUACGGGAGGCAGCAGUGGGGAAUCUUGCGCAAUGGGGGAAACCCUGACGCAGCAACGCCGCGUGAGUGAAGAAGGCCUUCGGGUCGUAAAGCUCUGUCAGAUGGAAAGAAUAAGUUUGCUGAGAAUAUCGGCGAACGAUGACGGUACCAUCAGAGGAAGCACCGGCUAACUCCGUGCCAGCAGCCGCGGUAAUACGGAGGGUGCAAGCGUUGUUCGGAAUUAUUGGGCGUAAAGCGCGUGUAGGCGGGAAGAUAGGUCAGGUGUGAAAGCCCUUGGCUUAACCAAGGAAUUGCAUCUGAAACCAUCUUUCUUGAGUACGAUAGGGGAGGGCGGAAUUCCCAGUGUAGAGGUGAAAUUCAUAGAUAUUGGGAGGAACACCGGUGGCGAAGGCGACCCUCUGGAUCGAUACUGACGCUGAGACGCGAAAGCGUGGGUAGCAAACAGGAUUAGAUACCCUGGUAGUCCACGCCGUAAACGAUGUGCACUAGGUGUUGGAGGUACUUAAUCCUUCAGUGCCGCAGCUAACGCAUUAAGUGCACCGCCUGGGGAUUACGGCCGCAAGGUUAAAACUCAAAGGAAUUGACGGGGGCCCGCACAAGCGGUGGAGUAUGUGGUUUAAUUCGACGCAACGCGCAUAACCUUACCUGGGCUUGACAUGCUGGGAUUAGUUCUGAGAAAUCAGAGCGAUUGCCUUCGGGUGUAACCAGCACAGGUGCUGCAUGGCUGUCGUCAGCUCGUGUCGUGAGAUGUUGGGUUAAGUCCCGCAACGAGCGCAACCCUUACCGUUAGUUGCCAUCCUUAAGUUGGGCACUCUAAUGGAACUGCCGGUGUCAAACCGGAGGAAGGUGAGGAUGACGUCAAGUCCUCAUGGCCUUUAUGCCCAGGGCUACACACGUACUACAAUGGUCAAUACAACGGGCAGCAAGCUCGCGAGAGCAAGCAAAUCCCUGAAAGUUGACCCCAGUUCGGAUUGAAGUCUGCAACUCGACUUCAUGAAGUCGGAAUCGCUAGUAAUCGCGGAUCAGCAGGCCGCGGUGAAUACGUUCUCGGGCCUUGUACACACCGCCCGUCACACCACGAGAGUCAAUUGCACCAGAAGUCGUUGGGCUAAUCCCUAUCAAACGGGAAGGCAGACGCCUAAGGUGUGGUUGGUGAUUGGGGUGAAGUCGUAACAAGGUAGCCGUAGGAGAACCUGUGGCUGGAUCACCUCCUUUCUAUGGAA